Molecule: long non-coding RNA, 296 nt
Filed under: Elaeis guineensis (African oil palm)
Lineage: Eukaryota; Viridiplantae; Streptophyta; Magnoliopsida; Arecales; Arecaceae
Description: long non-coding RNA (EGUI_LNC044489)
Source: RNAcentral
AGAUCUCUCGGCUACACCAACUCUCUGUCCAACCACCAUUGGAUGCUUCUUUUCGGUUGUCCACAGGCCUUCUUAUAGGCCCCAGAACCCAAACAAUAUUGGAAACAAAUUCUUAAUUGCAUCAAACAGUGUCCCAGAGCCACAAAUCAAAAUCAAGAACCAUACGAGCCAUCAGAUUAUGCAUCCGCACCGAUCGAUCCAUAGACACUCCCAUGAACCACAAGAAACCCCUGGAGAAAUGGUGCUGGUCCAUCAUGGACUGUGUAAAACCCAGGGAAAUACCUCCCUAGUCUAUG